Molecule: long non-coding RNA, 237 nt
Filed under: Manacus vitellinus (golden-collared manakin)
Lineage: Eukaryota; Metazoa; Chordata; Aves; Passeriformes; Pipridae
Description: lncRNA (ENSMVIG00005014114.1)
Source: RNAcentral
GGGGCUCCGCGGGCUCCGCACGCCGGGCUGCGGCCGCAGAGACAGCGCCGAGGGGGCUCCCGGGGCAGCGCAGCCCCGCCAGGCUCCAGACAGAUGAGUAGGGAGCUGGCUACAGAAGAGGAACAGAUUCCAGUUUUCCAGCUGGUCGCCCUGUACAGAGAAAAACCCUCGAGAUCAAAGCUGGGAGAAAGAAGACAAGUGGUGGAGGAGUCAAUGUGUGACAUGGAACAGGUCUGA